CCUACGGGAGGCAGCAGUAGGGAAUCUUCGGCAAUGGGGGCAACCCUGACCGAGCAACGCCGCGUGAGUGAAGAAGGUUUUCGGAUCGUAAAGCUCUGUUGUAAGAGAAGAACGUGUGUGAGAGUGGAAAGUUCACACAGUGACGGUAACUUACCAGAAAGGGACGGCUAACUACGUGCCAGCAGCCGCGGUAAUACGUAGGUCCCGAGCGUUGUCCGGAUUUAUUGGGCGUAAAGCGAGCGCAGGCGGUUUGAUAAGUCUGAAGUUAAAGGCAGUGGCUUAACCAUUGUUCGCUUUGGAAACUGUUAGACUUGAGUGCAGAAGGGGAGAGUGGAAUUCCAUGUGUAGCGGUGAAAUGCGUAGAUAUAUGGAGGAACACCGGUGGCGAAAGCGGCUCUCUGGUCUGUAACUGACGCUGAGGCUCGAAAGCGUGGGGAGCAAACAGGAUUAGAUACCCCUGUAGUC
RNAcentral lists this ribosomal RNA (465 nucleotides) under Clostridioides sp. ZZV13-5731. RNAcentral describes it as "bacterial SSU rRNA". It matches the Rfam family "Bacterial small subunit ribosomal RNA", at positions 338 to 795 of the family's 1533-position model. The record is from RNAcentral. Lineage: Bacteria; Bacillati; Bacillota; Clostridia; Peptostreptococcales; Peptostreptococcaceae.